CUGUGUUAUCAUCAAGGCCGAAGCGACAAGAUGAAGGGAGAUUAUUAAGGCCCAAAGCGACAAAAUAAUUUCCAUCCAUUAAGGCCAAAGCGACAAAAUGGAGCGACUCACUAUCAGAGUCUGAUUCUGGCCAAAGCGACAGGAUCUAGUUCACUAUCAGAACCGAUGUUUAUAGUCCACCCUGAUCAAGAGCGACUUUAUGUCCGCAACGACGGUUACCCCACUAAGGCCAAAGCGACAAAGUAGGUCGAGAUCAUUAAGGCCAAAGCGACAAAAUGAUCUCCAAGUCUAUCAAGGCCAAAGCGACAAGAUAAGAGAAUUAUUGAGGCCAAAGCGACAAAAUAAUUCUUGGUCCAUUGAGGCCAUAGCGACAAAAUGGACUGACUCGUUAUUAAAGUCUGAUUCUGGCCGAAGUGACAGAAUGCGUGGAUCUUGGCCAAAGCGACAGGAUCGUUCCUGCAAAACAAAAAUAACCUGCAAAACAACUGCAUCAGUCUAAAGGAUAUAUUUAUUGACUUACUGACCUUGCCGUGCGGGGCUGCU
This 543-nucleotide long non-coding RNA is filed under the name Zostera marina. Its description in RNAcentral is "long non-coding RNA (ZMAR_LNC000061)". Lineage: Eukaryota; Viridiplantae; Streptophyta; Magnoliopsida; Alismatales; Zosteraceae. The record is from RNAcentral.